Molecule: ribosomal RNA, 597 nt
Filed under: uncultured bacterium
Lineage: Bacteria
Description: bacterial SSU rRNA
Rfam family: Bacterial small subunit ribosomal RNA
Source: RNAcentral
CCUACGGGAGGCAGCAGUGGGGAAUCUUGCGCAAUGGGCGAAAGCCUGACGCAGCAACGCCGCGUGCGGGAAGAAGGCUUUCGGGCUGUAAACCGCUUUCAGCAGGAACGAAAAUGACGGUACCUGCAGAAGAAGGAGCGGCCAACUAUGUGCCAGCAGCCGCGGUGAUACAUAGGCUUCAAGCGUUGUCCGGAUUUAUUGGGCGUAAAGAGUUCGUAGGCGGUCGAGUAAGUCGGGUGUGAAAAUUCUGGGCUCAACCCAGAGACGCCACCCGAUACUGCUUGACUUGAGUUCGAUAGGGGAGUGGGGAAUUCCUAGUGUAGCGGUGAAAUGCGCAGAUAUUAGGAGGAACACCGGUGGCGAAGGCGCCACUCUGGAUCGAUACUGACGCUGAGGAACGAAAGCAUGGGUAGCAAACAGGAUUAGAUACCCUGGUAGUCCAUGCCGUAAACGGUGGGCACUAGGUGUGGGUUUCUAUUAACGAAAUCCGCGCCGUCGCUAACGCAUUAAGUGCCCCGCCUGGGGGAGGUACGGUCGCGAGACUAACUACAAUAGAGUAGACGCGNGAGACGNGCGACGACGACGACGAGGAGUAGG